Molecule: ribosomal RNA, 408 nt
Filed under: Triticum aestivum (bread wheat)
Lineage: Eukaryota; Viridiplantae; Streptophyta; Magnoliopsida; Poales; Poaceae
Description: partial small subunit ribosomal RNA
Source: RNAcentral
AUGCUGAACUGGAAAGUAAAUAAAGAACUGGUGCAGCCACCACAGUUUGAGGCAGAGGUUCUAUGUUACCCAAAGCCAAAGAUUCUUUGUGAUUAUUUGUCAUGGAGACAAGCAGAAUGCCACAACAGAAACCAGUACAACACAUGCUUUUGGAUACUAGUGAAGUCCGGAAAAGGUGAAGGUGAAGAUGAAGUUCAUGAGAUACUGAAGGGAACAUUAUCAACGGACAAGAACGAUUUGCUCUUUCAGCGGUUUCGGAUAAACUACAACAACGACCCAGAGAUGUUCCAGAAGGGUUCGUGUACUUGCCAGCAAAAGGGCUCAAGUCGCUUCGUGAGAUGCAUUUCACACCUGACUCACCUCCCACGCCUAAAAUGUCUCCAGGUAAACGUUUUUCUGCUUGUCUAG